Molecule: ribosomal RNA, 497 nt
Filed under: uncultured bacterium
Lineage: Bacteria
Description: partial 16S ribosomal RNA
Rfam family: Bacterial small subunit ribosomal RNA
Source: RNAcentral
GACGAACGCUGGCGGCGUGCCUAAUACAUGCAAGUCGAGCGGACAGACGGGAGCUUGCUCCCUGAUGUUAGCGGCGGACGGGUGAGUAACACGUGGGUAACCUGCCUGUAAGACUGGGAUAACUCCGGGAAACCGGGGCUAAUACCGGAUGGUUGUCUGAACCGCAUGGUUCAGACAUAAAAGGUGGCUUCGGCUACCACUUACAGAUGGACCCGCGGCGCAUUAGCUAGUUGGUGAGGUAACGGCUCACCAAGGCAACGAUGCGUAGCCGACCUGAGAGGGUGAUCGGCCACACUGGGACUGAGACACGGCCCAGACUCCUACGGGAGGCAGCAGUAGGGAAUCUUCCGCAAUGGACGAAAGUCUGACGGAGCAACGCCGCGGGAGUGAUGAAGGUUUUCGGAUCGUAAAGCUCUGUUGUUAGGGAAGAACAAGUGCCGUUCAAAUAGGGCGGCACCUUGACGGUACCUAACCAGAAAGCCACGGCUAACUACGUG